GAUGAACGCUAGCGGCAGGCCUAACACAUGCAAGUCGAGGGGUAACAUAGAAAAGCUUGCUUUUCUGAUGACGACCGGCGCACGGGUGCGUAACGCGUAUACAACCUACCUUUUAGCGGGGAAUAGCCCAGGGAAACUUGGAUUAAUGCCCCAUAGUAUAUGGACUUCUCCUGAAGUUUAUAUUAAACAUUUAUGGCUAUUAGAUGGGUAUGCGUCCUAUUAGUUAGUUGGUAAGGUAACGGCUUACCAAGGCAGCGAUAGGUAGGGGUCCUGAGAGGGAGAUCCCCACACUGGUACUGAGACACGGACCAGACUCCUACGGGAGGCAGCAGUGAGGAAUAUUGGACAAUGGGCGAGAGCCUGAUCCAGCCAUGCCGCGUGCAGGAAGACUCGCCCUAGUGGGUUAGUAAACUGUCUUUUACAGAGGAAGAACCCACCCCACGUGUGGGGGUUUGACGGUACUCUGCGAAUAAGGAUCGGCUAACUCCGUG
This 491-nucleotide ribosomal RNA is filed under the name uncultured bacterium. RNAcentral describes it as "bacterial SSU rRNA". It matches the Rfam family "Bacterial small subunit ribosomal RNA", at positions 28 to 507 of the family's 1533-position model. The record is from RNAcentral.